UCUCCGUAGGUGAACCUGCGGAGGGAUCAUUACUGAGUGAGGGUCUCCGGGCCCGACCUCCAACCCUUUUGUGAACCACCUCGUUGCUUCGGGGGCGACCCUGCCGUUCGCGGCGUGGGGCCCCCGGAGGUCUUCUAAACACUGCAUCUUUGCGUCGGAGUUUAAACAAAUUAAACAAAACUUUCAACAACGGAUCUCUUGGUUCUGGCAUCGAUGAAGAACGCAGC
RNAcentral lists this unclassified non-coding RNA (227 nucleotides) under uncultured fungus. RNAcentral's name for it is "sequence contains ITS1, 5.8S rRNA gene". The stretch from base 179 to 227 matches the Rfam family "5.8S ribosomal RNA", at positions 1 to 49 of the family's 154-position model. Lineage: Eukaryota; Fungi. The record is from RNAcentral.